UACGUAGGGUGCAAGCGUUGUCCGGAAUUAUUGGGCGUAAAGAGCUCGUAGGCGGUCUGUCGCGUCGGCUGUGAAAUCCCGAGGCUCAACCUCGGGUCUGCAGUCGAUACGGGCAAACUGGAGUGUUGCAGGGGAGACUGGAAUUCCUGGUGUAGCGGUGAAAUGCGCAGAUAUCAGGAGGAACACCGGUGGCGAAGGCGGUUCUCUGGGCAUUACCUGACGCUGAGGAGCGAAAGCGUGGGGAGCAAACAGG
This 253-nucleotide ribosomal RNA is filed under the name uncultured bacterium. Its description in RNAcentral is "partial 16S ribosomal RNA". It matches the Rfam family "Bacterial small subunit ribosomal RNA", at positions 524 to 776 of the family's 1533-position model. The record is from RNAcentral.